AGCAGAAUGGCGAAAUUGGUAGACGCACAGGACUUUGACUCCUGCAUUUGAAGGUUCGAACCCUUCUUCUGCUGCCA
This 77-nucleotide transfer RNA is filed under the name Massiliimicrobium timonense. RNAcentral describes it as "tRNA-Gln". It matches the Rfam family "tRNA". From Rfam's summary of the family: Transfer RNA (tRNA) molecules are approximately 80 nucleotides in length. Their secondary structure includes four short double-helical elements and three loops (D, anti-codon, and T loops). Further hydrogen bonds mediate the characteristic L-shaped molecular structure. tRNAs have two regions of fundamental functional importance: the anti-codon, which is responsible for specific mRNA codon recognition, and the 3' end, to which the tRNAs corresponding amino acid is attached (by aminoacyl-tRNA synthetases). tRNAs cope with the degeneracy of the genetic code in two manners: having more than one tRNA (with a specific anti-codon) for a particular amino acid; and 'wobble' base-pairing, i.e. permitting non-standard base-pairing at the 3rd anti-codon position. Lineage: Bacteria; Bacillati; Bacillota; Erysipelotrichia; Erysipelotrichales; Erysipelotrichaceae. The record is from RNAcentral. RNAcentral also lists the same sequence under 1 other name.